UACGUAGGGGGCUAGCGUUGUCCGGAUUUAUUGGGCGUAAAGAGCGUGUAGGCGGCCAGGUAGGUCUGGUGUGAAAACUCGAGGCUUAACCUCGAGAUGUCAUCGGAAACCAUCUGGCUAGAGUCCGGAAGAGGAGAGUGGAAUUCCUGGUGUAGCGGUGAAAUGCGCAGAUAUCAGGAAGAACACCGAUGGCGAAGGCAGCUCUCUGGGACGGUACUGACGCUGAGACGCGAAAGCGUGGGGAGCAAACAGG
This 253-nucleotide ribosomal RNA is filed under the name uncultured bacterium. Its description in RNAcentral is "partial 16S ribosomal RNA". It matches the Rfam family "Bacterial small subunit ribosomal RNA", at positions 524 to 776 of the family's 1533-position model. The record is from RNAcentral.